This 200-nucleotide ribosomal RNA is filed under the name uncultured bacterium. RNAcentral describes it as "partial 16S ribosomal RNA". It matches the Rfam family "Bacterial small subunit ribosomal RNA", at positions 30 to 237 of the family's 1533-position model. The record is from RNAcentral.
CCUGAACGCUGGCGGCGUGGCUAAGACAUGCAAGUCGUACGGGUGCAGCAAUGCACCAGUGGCGGACGGGUGAGUAAUGUAUCGCUAAUGUACCCCAGACUCUGGGAUAGCCGGGGGAAACUCCGGGUAAUACCAGAUGACAUAACCGAGCCGCAUGGUUUGGUUCUCAAAGGGCAACCGGUUUGGGAGCAGGCGAUAUC